GUCCCAUAGUAUAAUGGAAGUAUGUCGGGCUUUGGACCCGGCGGCGCUGGGUUCGAAUCCCGCUGGGACUA
This 71-nucleotide transfer RNA is filed under the name bacterium. Its description in RNAcentral is "tRNA-Gln". It matches the Rfam family "tRNA". From Rfam's summary of the family: Transfer RNA (tRNA) molecules are approximately 80 nucleotides in length. Their secondary structure includes four short double-helical elements and three loops (D, anti-codon, and T loops). The record is from RNAcentral.